Molecule: ribosomal RNA, 1334 nt
Filed under: Austrosimulium sp.
Lineage: Eukaryota; Metazoa; Arthropoda; Insecta; Diptera; Simuliidae
Description: 16S ribosomal RNA
Rfam family: Archaeal large subunit ribosomal RNA (bases 1086-1244)
Source: RNAcentral
UUUUUAUUUAUUAAUAUUAUUUAUUAAUGAAUUUUAUUUAAUAAAAAUAAUUUUAUUUAUGUUUAAGGGUUUAGUAUUUUUUAAAGAUAAACUAAUUUUUAUUAUAAUUAAUUUUUACUGUAAAGGAUUAUUGAAAUAUUUUGAAAAAUUUUUUAUUUAAAAGAACUAUUAAUUUUAGGUAUCUUGUGUAUCAGAGUUUAUUAAAUAAAUUUUAAUAAUAAUUAAUUUUCUCGAAUUAAAAAGAUCUAAUAAGUUAUUUUAGUUAAUGUAGAAUAAUUAUUAAAAAUAAUUUGUUAGAAAUGAAACGUUAAUCGUUUUUUAAUAUAUCUAGUUUUUUAAGAAAUAAAUUUAAUUUAGUUAAUUUAUUUUAUUUAUUUAUUUAAUUAAAGAUUUAAAAUAAAUUAAUAAUACUUUAAGGGAUGAGCUUUAAAGUAAAAUUUUAUAAAUAAAUUUAUUUAUAAAUAAUUGUAGGUUUAGAAAUAGCCAUCAAUAGAAAUUAUGUUAUAAUUUAUUUUUUGUUAUAAUAUUAUUUAUUUAUUAUUUUAAAUAUUUUAUUAAAAUAUAAAUUUUAAUUUUAAAAAUUUAUAAAUAAUGAUAAAAUUAGUAAAUUACUUAUUUAUAUAAAUAAAUAUUUUUGAUUGGUUUAUAUAAUUAAUUCGGCAAAUUAAAUGUGUUCGCUUGUUUAUCAAAAACAUGUCUAUUUGGUAUUUAAUAUAAAGUCUGGCCUGCCCACUGAUAAUUUUCAUUAAAGGGCCGCAGUAUUUUGACUGUGCAAAGGUAGCAUAAUCAUUAGUCUUUUAAUUGAAGGCUGGUAUGAAUGGUUGGACGAGAUACAUGCUGUGUCAUAAAAAUUAAUAAUUGAAUUUAACUUUUUAGUCAAAAGGCUAAAAUAAUAUUAAAAGACGAGAAGACCCCAUAGAGCUUUAUAUAAUAAAUCAUUAGAUUAUUUAGAUUUAUAAAAUUUAGUGAUUGAUUUAUAUUUUGUUGGGGUGACAAUAAAAUUUAUAAAACUUUUAUUUUUUAUAAACAUUAAUUUAUGAAUAAAUGAUCCAGUUUUAUUGAUUAUAAAAUUAAGUUACCUUGGGGAUAACAGCGUUAUUUUUUUUGAGAGUUCAUAUCGACAAAAAAGAUUGCGACCUCGAUGUUGGAUUAAGAGUAAUUUUGGGUGUAGCAGUUCAAAGUUUAAGUCUGUUCGACUUUUAAAUUCUUACAUGAUCUGAGUUCAAACCGGUGUAAGCCAGGUUGGUUUCUAUCUUUAAUUAAAUAAAAUAUUUUAGUACGAAAGGACCAAAUAUUUAAAAAAUUAUUUUUUUUUACUAUGAAUUUUAUUAAUU